GGGUCAGUAGGUUGGUCGUGCCACCGGUACGUACUGGUCUCACUGAUUCCUCCUUCCUGAAGAACCGUAAUGCCAUUAAUUUGGUGUUGCGGGGAAACAGGACUGUUACUUUGGAAAAAUUAGAGUGUUUAAGGCAAGCUAACGCUUGAAUACAUUAGCAUGGAAUAAUGAAAUAGGACGAUCGAUCCUAUUUUGUUGGUUUCUAGGAUUGACGUA
RNAcentral lists this ribosomal RNA (216 nucleotides) under Glomeromycotina sp. Its description in RNAcentral is "partial small subunit ribosomal RNA". The stretch from base 40 to 216 matches the Rfam family "Eukaryotic small subunit ribosomal RNA", at positions 686 to 864 of the family's 1831-position model. Lineage: Eukaryota; Fungi; Glomeromycota. The record is from RNAcentral.